This is an RNA transcript of Humulus lupulus (European hop), 1465 nucleotides long. It is a transcript of the gene named serine/threonine-protein kinase EDR1-like, with no coding region annotated. The transcript has 7 exons. Lineage: Eukaryota; Viridiplantae; Streptophyta; Magnoliopsida; Rosales; Cannabaceae. The record is from RefSeq and is a predicted model, not a curated record.
UCCCUAAAUGAAUCUCCAAAAUCCCCUACUCUCUCCUCUUUCUUCUUCCCAGCCCGAUACCACUCUUUCUUUUCUUCUCUCGCAUUUCAAUAGGCCAGACCAGAUGAGCCAUCUACGGCCACCACCCAAUGACACACACCCCACCACGAGCUUCCUUGGCCCCUGAAACCCUAAACCCAUGAAGCUCGCCUCCCCACUCGCCGGCCUCCGUCGCAACUGGCUCCCCGAAGUGAUCGAAUUCGUAUCUCUAAUGAGCCUCUGCUGUUAUCAUCAUAAGGGGUGUUGUUGCUUCUGAAGAAGAGUUGGCUUACCGCUGGAAGGAGUGCAGUGAAAAUUUGAGUGACCGCUUGGGUUCUGUUGUAGUUCCAAUUGGGUACUUGUUUACCGGACUUUGUGUUCAUCAUGUUGUACUAUUUAAAAUUUUGGCAGACUUGGUUAACUUACCUUGUCGAACUGUUAAGGGGUGCAAAUACUGUAGCAGGGAUGAUGCUGCCUCCUGCCUUGUGCAAUUCGAUUACGAAAAGGAAUAUUUGGUUGAUUUGCAUGAGAUGCCAGGAGUGUUUAGCCAGCCAGACUCUUCUCAUAAUAGUGCAUUGUCCAUUUCAGUUUCUUCACCACUUAGGCAUCCUAAAUUUAAAUAUGUCAAGCUCUUUUGGAACUGUCUAUCAUGCUAAAUGGCGUGGCUCAGAUGUUGUUGUCAAAGUUCUCAAGGAACAAGAUUUUCAUGCAAAGCACUUCAAAGAAUUUCUAGAGGAGGUAAAGGCAAGGGCAAGAUUGAUCAACCGUGAUUGGAGAGCUCUGCAGGGUGAAUGUACAUGACAGGCCGCUCAACCUCCACGAUUUGAGGAGAUUACAGGGACGAGAGGACCAGAACCUUGUAUUUUGCCUUAGUAUGGCUAAUGUUUACUUUUAAUAGUUGAAUUUUGUAAACCAGCUUUUAAACAUUGUUUUGGGGAUCCCUUCUGUAAAAUUGUUUAUAAUUUAUAAAAUGUAUCUUCUGAGGCCAAAAUGUCUUUUAGCCAUAGAGCACUUUAACUAAUGACACGUUUUGAUUAAAUGACUUGAUUACCAAGUUUAACAUCUUUAUAAACACAUAGUGUAGCGGUCUUGUCUAUCCAGGACGUUACAACUUGGUAUCAGAGCGUCCUAGGUUUAUGGGUUCCUGAAGACAGGCUGGACAUGUACAUUCGUUGCUAGAGACAAGCUCAAAUCAGGGUUCGGUAAAGGCAAGGGCAAGAUUGAUCAACCGUGAUUGGAGAGCUCUGCAGGGUGAAUGUACAUGACAGGCUGCUCAACCGCCACGGUUUGAGGAGAUUACAGGGACGAGAGGACCAGAACCUUGUAUUUUGCCUUAGUAUGGCUAAUGUUUACUUUUAAUAGUUGAAUUUUGUAAACCAGCUUUUAAACAUUGUUUUGGGGAUCCCUUCUGUAAAAUUGUUUAUAAUUUAUAAAAUGUAUCUUCUGA